RNAcentral lists this ribosomal RNA (253 nucleotides) under uncultured bacterium. RNAcentral describes it as "partial 16S ribosomal RNA". It matches the Rfam family "Bacterial small subunit ribosomal RNA", at positions 524 to 776 of the family's 1533-position model. The record is from RNAcentral.
UACGUAGGGUGCGAGCGUUAAUCGGAAUUACUGGGCGUAAAGCGUGCGCAGGCGGUUAUAUAAGACAGUUGUGAAAGCCCCGGGCUCAACCUGGGAAUGGCAAUGGAUACUGGCAAGCUAGAGUGCGGUAGAGGGUAGUGGAAUUCCCGGUGUAGCGGUGAAAUGCGUAGAGAUCGGGAGGAACACCAGUGGCGAAGGCGGCUACCUGGACCAGCACUGACACUGAGGCGCGAAAGCGUGGGGAGCAAACAGG